AACGAACGCUGGCGGCAUGCCUAACACAUGCAAGUCGAACGAGACCUUCGGGUCUAGUGGCGCACGGGUGCGUAACGCGUGGGAACCUUCCCUUAGGUUCGGAAUAACUCUCCGACAGGGGUGCUAAUACCGGAUAAUGUCUUCGGACCAAAGAUUUAUCGCCUUUGGAUGGGCCCUCGUUGGAUUAGCUAUGUGGUAAGGUAAAAGCUUACCAAGGCGACGAUCCGUAGCUGGUCGAAGAGGGGGAUCAGCCACACUGGAAAUGAGACACGGCCCAGACGCAGAGGGGAGGCAGAAGUAGGGAAUCUGAGGAAAUGGGAGAAAGCCUGAAGGAGCAAAGCCGCGUGAGUGAUGAAGGUCUUAGGAUCGUAAAAAUCUGUUAUUAGGGAAGAACAAAUGUGUAAGUAACUAUGCACGUCUUGACGGUACCUAAUCAGAAAGCCACGGCUAACUACGUG
Molecule: ribosomal RNA, 458 nt
Filed under: uncultured bacterium
Lineage: Bacteria
Description: partial 16S ribosomal RNA
Rfam family: Bacterial small subunit ribosomal RNA
Source: RNAcentral